CAGUCGCCGCGGGAAUACGGAUGGUCCGAGCGUUAAUCGGAAUUACUGGGCGUAAAGCGUGCGCAGGCGGUUUGUUAAGCGAGAUGUGAAAGCCCUGGGCUCAACCUAGGAAUAGCAUUUCGAACUGGCGAACUAGAGUCUUGUAGAGGGGGGUAGAAUUCCAGGUGUAGCGGUGAAAUGCGUAGAGAUCUGGAGGAAUACCGGUGGCGAAGGCGGCCCCCUGGACAAAGACUGACGCUCAUGCACGAAAGCGUGGGGAGCAAACAGGAUUAGAGACCCCAGUAGUCCCUGUCUCUUAUAC
Molecule: ribosomal RNA, 301 nt
Filed under: uncultured bacterium
Lineage: Bacteria
Description: partial 16S ribosomal RNA
Rfam family: Bacterial small subunit ribosomal RNA
Source: RNAcentral